Molecule: ribosomal RNA, 979 nt
Filed under: metagenome
Description: bacterial LSU rRNA
Rfam family: Bacterial large subunit ribosomal RNA
Source: RNAcentral
CGGUCCUAAGGUAGCGAAAUUCCUUGUCGGGUAAGUUCCGACCUGCACGAAUGGCGUAACGAUCUCCACACUGUCUCGGCCAGAGACUCGGUGAAAUUGCAGUCGCGGUGACAGUCCAAUAAGAACGCAGAAAGACGGAAAGACCCUGUGCACCUUUACUAUAGCUUGACAUUGGAUUUUGGGCCUGCAUGUGUAGGAUAGGUGGGAGGCUGUGAACCCUGUACGCCAGUAUGGGGGGAGCCAUCCUUGAAAUACCACCCUUGCAUGUUUAAGAUCCUAACUUCUUCCGGUUAUCCCGGAGAAAGACAGUGUCUGGCGGGUAGUUUGACUGGGGCGGUCGCCUCCUAAAGUGUAACGGAGGCAUGCAAAGGUUCCCUCAGCCUGAUCGGAAACCAGGCGCUGAGUGCAAACGCAUAAGGGAGCUUGACUGUAAGAGAGACAUCUCGAACAGGAACGAAAGUUGGCGUUAGUGAUCCGGUGGUCCCGAAUGGAAGGGCCAUCGCUCAUUGGAUAAAAGGUACGCCGGGGAUAACAGGCUGAUCGCAUCCAAGAGUUCACAUCGACGAUGCGGUUUGGCACCUCGAUGUCGGCUCAUCACAUCCUGGGGCUGAAGCAGGUCCCAAGGGUACGGCUGUUCGCCGUUUAAAGUGGUACGCGAGCUGGGUUUAAAACGUCGUGAGACAGUUUGGUCCCUAUCUUCUGUGGGCGAAGGAGAAUUGAGAGGGCCUGUCCCUAGUACGAGAGGACCGGGAUGGACGCACCCCUGGUGAUCCUGUUGUCGCGCCAGCGGCAUAGCAGGGUAGCUAUGUGCGGAAGGGAUAACCGCUGAAAGCAUCUAAGCGGGAAGCCUGCCUCAAGAUAAGUUCUCCCCUCGAAAGAGCUGAAGGGCCCGGGUAGACUACCCGGUCGAUAGGCUGGAGGUGUAAGCGCGGCGACGUGCUCAGCUGACCAGUACUAAUAGCCCGAGCGGCUUAUUUUU